Xenopus laevis (African clawed frog) is the source of this 914-nucleotide long non-coding RNA. RefSeq lists it as uncharacterized. NCBI's taxonomy places the organism in Eukaryota, Metazoa, Chordata, Amphibia, Anura, Pipidae. The transcript is spliced from 4 exons. The record is from RefSeq and is a predicted model, not a curated record.
GUGACAAUGUCUUACUGCUGCGAGUUGUAGUUUCGCAAUAAUUCCAGCAACUUCUAACUGAUUAUGCCAGGCGAACGUAGAACCCAUCUAAGCGUGAAUUUUAGUUUUACUUUCUAAGACUAUUCCCUUCAAGCACAUGGAUAGGACGGGUUGAGUGUCUAAGGCCUCAUUUAUAUGCGUGUAAUGUAAGGUAUCAAUGAACAAAAGUCUAGUGAAAGAAGAGAGAAUGGGAGAAAAAGUAAAAUUGGAUUAAUAGUGAACUUAAAGGUGAUACGUUUAAAGCAAAGAUUUCAAAAUAACUUACAUAAUGUGGAGGAUGCUGGGCCAUGUUUAUACGUUAUGCCGUAAGCUGAGUGUAUUGCCAGAACAGCGUUAUGUGCAGCUGAUUCCUAUGUCAAAAGAUAUUGUUGAGCACUUCAAAAACAACAUUGACAGAAGUGACAUUACACUACUCGACCCCACUGGACUUCCAUCACCCUCCCUCCACACUCCCCAUUCUCUCCUGUGCUCCUUCACCCCUGUAACUGAUGAGGAAGUCUCAAAACUGUUGGCCUCUUCUCCCCUUACUACCUGCCCGCUUGAUCCUAUUCCUUCAAAACUUCUCCAUAAUGCCAAUCCCUGUCUAAUCAAAGCCUUAACUCAUUUAUUUUUCAUCUCUCGCUGUCAAUGGGAAUCUUUCCUUCUCAACUAAAACAUGGUCUUGUCACCCUGAUUCUAAAAAAACCUCUCGAUCCCUCGAAUCUUGAUAACCUCUGGCCUAUCUCUCUGCUACCUUUCAUCUCUAAACUACUUGAGCGCCUAGUCUACAACCGACUAACCUCAUUCCUCUCUGACAAUAACCUGCUGGACCCCCUACAAUCUGGUUUUAAGCAACAACACUCCACUGAAACUGUCCUAACCUGACUAACUAGUGA